This 1531-nucleotide long non-coding RNA is filed under the name Triticum aestivum (bread wheat). RNAcentral describes it as "long non-coding RNA (TAES_LNC001049)". The record is from RNAcentral. Lineage: Eukaryota; Viridiplantae; Streptophyta; Magnoliopsida; Poales; Poaceae.
UCGGAGAUGGUGAUGGUGCUCGUCAUGAAGAUCCUUUCCAUAGGCUAGAUAACGAUAACUGUCUUUCUAGCGUAUCCAUUGUGUCGUUGUCCAUCUGGAUUCUGGAAAGAUUGUCUGGAUUGGUUACCGUGCAUGUACUAUACAUACCUGAUACCGUGCUUACGGCCAUUGCUAUCUAUUAUAUGACGGCGCUGAACCUCCCGGUUGAGGUGAUGAAGAAGAUUGAUGCCCUCCGACGGGCAUUCUUGUGGGCUGGUUGUGACAAAGUCACUGGUGGAAAAUGCAAAAUUAAUUGGGAGCAAGUCUGCAAGCCAAAACUUCAUGGUGGCCUUGGCGUUCUCAAUCUGAAAAAAUUUGCAUCUGCUCUGCGCAUUCGUUGGCUCUGGGGUGAGUGGCUUACUCCCACCAAGCCCUGGGUGGGACUAGGGACGCCGUGCAACCGACAGGAUAGAGACAUCUUUGCGGCCUCCACAAAAGUCGUCGUGGGCGAUGGUACACGUGCCUUUUUUUGGGAGUCUGCUUGGCUUGAUGGUUUGCGACCCAAGGACAUUGCGCCCAAAAUUUUUGAGCUGUCACAAAGAAGGAACUGCACGGUCCAGAAAGCGCUCCUCAACAAUUUUUGGGUGUCUCAGGUGAAGAUCUCUCAGGGCAUGACUGUUGACCAUCUUCAUGAGUUCGUCAACCUAUGGGAGAAGCUAUCUCAUGUUCAGCUAAUUCCUGACAUGCCAGACUCCAUCAUUUGGAAGCUCACCAAGGAUGGUCACUAUUCUGCAGCAACGGCUUACAGUGCGCAGUUUCUCGGUUUAGUUGACUCGGACUUGCCUCAAAUUGUUUGGGCAACUUGGGCCCCCCCAAAAUGCAAGUUUUUCGCUUGGCUAGUCAUCAACAAUAGAAUCUGGACGGCAGACCGGCUUCAGAAGCGAGGGUGGCCUAAUUGUAACAUGUGCCCCCUAUGCAAGCAAGUACAGGAAUCGGCGGCUCGUCUGCUCUUCAAAUGCCGCCACACGGUUAGAGUAUGGAACAUGAUUAAAGCGUGGCUUGGCCUUCAUGACAUUCACCCGCAGAACUGGGCCAUGGUUGACACGGUGAAGAGCUGGUGGAGCGCCACCGCUUCCAACACGACGCAAUCUCGACGACCGCUUACCUCCUUAUGAUGCUCGUCUCAUGGGAAAUUUGGAAAGAGCGGAAUGCUAGGGUAUUCCGUAAUGUCGCAGUGCCUGUUGGGGUUUUAGUAGCUAGAAUCAAAGACGAGACGACGCUAUGGUGUCUGGCCGGUGCGAAACAUUUGUGUAAUAUCAUGCCGUGAGAGUGAUACGUUGUAUUUGGCCUUUGGCCAAGACCCCUGAGACUCCUUCUUAUUCAAUGAAAAUGGCAAAUCUUUUGCCUUGUUUCAAAAAAAAAAAAUACCUGAUACGGCCGCGAUGCUGCUGGAACUUGGUUUUAUCUAGCGUCAUUGAGAAUGUCCUCUCUUGUCUCUUCCCUUUGAUGUGAAGCUAGUGUGUGUACCACUGAUAAUGUCAGGUUCAUGAAA